This 651-nucleotide ribosomal RNA is filed under the name Escherichia coli. Its description in RNAcentral is "bacterial SSU rRNA". It matches the Rfam family "Bacterial small subunit ribosomal RNA", at positions 894 to 1533 of the family's 1533-position model. Lineage: Bacteria; Pseudomonadati; Pseudomonadota; Gammaproteobacteria; Enterobacterales; Enterobacteriaceae. The record is from RNAcentral.
UUAAAACUCAAAUGAAUUGACGGGGGCCCGCACAAGCGGUGGAGCAUGUGGUUUAAUUCGAUGCAACGCGAAGAACCUUACCUGGUCUUGACAUCCACAGAACUUUCCAGAGAUGGAUUGGUGCCUUCGGGAACUGUGAGACAGGUGCUGCAUGGCUGUCGUCAGCUCGUGUUGUGAAAUGUUGGGUUAAGUCCCGCAACGAGCGCAACCCUUAUCCUUUGUUGCCAGCGGUCCGGCCGGGAACUCAAAGGAGACUGCCAGUGAUAAACUGGAGGAAGGUGGGGAUGACGUCAAGUCAUCAUGGCCCUUACGACCAGGGCUACACACGUGCUACAAUGGCGCAUACAAAGAGAAGCGACCUCGCGAGAGCAAGCGGACCUCAUAAAGUGCGUCGUAGUCCGGAUUGGAGUCUGCAACUCGACUCCAUGAAGUCGGAAUCGCUAGUAAUCGUGGAUCAGAAUGCCACGGUGAAUACGUUCCCGGGCCUUGUACACACCGCCCGUCACACCAUGGGAGUGGGUUGCAAAAGAAGUAGGUAGCUUAACCUUCGGGAGGGCGCUUACCACUUUGUGAUUCAUGACUGGGGUGAAGUCGUAACAAGGUAACCGUAGGGGAACCUGCGGUUGGAUCACCUCCUUACCUUAAAGAAGC